This 433-nucleotide ribosomal RNA is filed under the name uncultured bacterium. Its description in RNAcentral is "partial 16S ribosomal RNA". It matches the Rfam family "Bacterial small subunit ribosomal RNA", at positions 29 to 507 of the family's 1533-position model. The record is from RNAcentral.
AACGAACGCUGGCGGCAGGCCUAACACAUGCAAGUCGAACGAGACCUUCGGGUCUAGCGGCGCACGGGUGAGUAACGCGUGGGAACGUGCCCUUGGGUUCGGAAUAACAGCUGGAAACGAGGGCUAAUACCGGAUACUGCCGUAGGUGGAAAGAUUUAUCGCCGAGGGAUGAGCCCGCGUAGGAUUAGCUAGUUGGUGGGGUAAAGGCCUACCAAGGCGACGAUCCUUAGCUGGUCUGAGAGGAUGAUCAGCCACACUGGGACUGAGACACGGCCCAGACUCCUACGGGAGGCAGCAGUGGGGAAUAUUGGACAAUGGGCGAAAGCCUGAUCCAGCAAUGCCGCGUGAGUGAUGAAGGCCUUAGGGUUGUAAAGCUCUUUUACCUGGGAUGAUAAUGACAGUACCAGCAGAAGAAGCCCCGGCUAACUCCGUG